Molecule: ribosomal RNA, 425 nt
Filed under: uncultured bacterium
Lineage: Bacteria
Description: bacterial SSU rRNA
Rfam family: Bacterial small subunit ribosomal RNA
Source: RNAcentral
GUGGGGAAUCUUGCGCAAUGGGCGAAAGCCUGACGCAGCCAUGCCGCGUGAAUGAUGAAGGUCUUAGGAUUGUAAAAUUCUUUCACCGGGGACGAUAAUGACGGUACCCGGAGAAGAAGCUCCGGCUAACUUCGUGCCAGCAGCCGCGGUAAUACGAAGGGGGCUAGCGUUGCUCGGAAUUACUGGGCGUAAAGGGCGCGUAGGCGGACAGCUUAGUCAGAGGUGAAAGCCCAGGGCUCAACCUUGGAAUUGCCUUUGAUACUGGCUGUCUUGAGUUUGGGAGAGGUGAGUGGAACUCCGAGUGUAGAGGUGAAAUUCGUAGAUAUUCGGAAGAACACCAGUGGCGAAGGCGACAUACUGGCUCAUUACUGACGCUGAGGCGCGAAAGCGUGGGGAGCAAACAGGAUUAGAUACCCUUGUAGUCC